Molecule: ribosomal RNA, 497 nt
Filed under: uncultured bacterium
Lineage: Bacteria
Description: partial 16S ribosomal RNA
Rfam family: Bacterial small subunit ribosomal RNA
Source: RNAcentral
GACGAACGCUGGCGGCGUGCCUAAUACAUGCAAGUAGAACGCUGAAGAGAGGAGCUUGCUCUUCUUGGAUGAGUUGCGAACGGGUGAGUAACGCGUAGGUAACCUGCCUUGUAGCGGGGGAUAACUAUUGGAAACGAUAGCUAAUACCGCAUAACAAUGGAUGACACAUGUCAUUUAUUUGAAAGGGGCAAUUGCUCCACUACAAGAUGGACCUGCGUUGUAUUAGCUAGUAGGUGAGGUAAUGGCUCACCUAGGCGACGAUACAUAGCCGACCUGAGAGGGUGAUCGGCUACACUGGGACUGAGACACGGCCCAGACUCCUACGGGAGGCAGCAGUAGGGAAUCUUCGGCAAUGGGGGCAACCCUGACCGAGCAACGCCGCGUGAGUGAAGAAGGGUUUCGGAUCGUAAAGCUCUGUUGUAAGUCAAGAACGGGUGUGAGAGUGGAAAGUUCACACUGUGACGGUAGCUUACCAGAAAGGGACGGCUAACUACGUG